Manis javanica (Malayan pangolin) is the source of this 1199-nucleotide long non-coding RNA. RefSeq lists it as uncharacterized. The record is from RefSeq and is a predicted model, not a curated record. NCBI's taxonomy places the organism in Eukaryota, Metazoa, Chordata, Mammalia, Pholidota, Manidae.
ACCCCCAGCCCGCUGCCCACGCGCACCUCUGGGCUCGGGCGGCCGGGGCCGGGGUGGCGGGUGCGUGUCCAGUGGACGCCCGGCCUGCGGGCACCUUGGGGCCCGGCGGGGAGGGGGAAGGGCGCGCGCUCCCGCGGCCGGUCGGAAGGAGGGCGCGCCGGCGGCCCCGCGGCCCGGCGGGAGCGCUGCCGGCGGGAGCGCUGCCGCCGGGGAGCGGGAACCCCGCAUCCCGCGCCGCUGUCUGGAGGGGCUGUUUAAGCAGCCGGCCGUGCAACACGGCCCUCUCUCCGCUUCCGCGCCAGUCUCCCGCGGACAAUUUUAUCUUCUCUCGGCGGCCCUGCCAGGGCUGCUGAGAGAGCGGGCGGCGUCUGUAGCGCCGGUCCCCGGCUCGCCCGCGCCCUGGCCUCAGUGCCCGAGGCAAGAUGGCUGUACUUCGUGGGCCUUCCCACGCCGGUCCGGAGCCCGACCUAGCCGUGGCCGGGCCUCGUGACCGGUCCGUUGGGUGGAACGCCCGGAUAGUGUACCCAAACUCUGUCCGCAGCUCCGACGUAGCUGAGGCAGUGGACAACGGCAGAAUUUCAGAUGGCUUAUCCCUUCCUAGGCUGAAUGUGAGAGUUUAGGAUUCGUUUGGUUCCCUUGGGGCAGUAAGCUUCCCAGGACCACUGCCAACACUGACACCCAUCCAUGGCAAGAUGCAUCCUGGACACAUUGUCACCAGGCCUCAUAGAGGGAGCUCGCUGAAUUCCUGAUAGUCCUCAAGCUGGCUCCCACCCGGAUUUCUCACGGUGCUCUGAGCUUCUUUAGCAGCAGAACCUGGCUUCCUUCUAUGGGUCUGAAGGGCAGGCAUCUACUUGUGUUCUUGCCACAUCCAUCCUUCCCUUUCUGGAAAGCAAAUUGUUCCAUGUGAGAUCUCCAUGAACAAGGUAUAUAACAAGAGUGGAACUGCUGUGGCUGACUCUCUGAGGAACUGCUAAGCUGUUUUGGAAAUGGACUGCACCAUUCCAUUUAAAAUUAUUUCUUUCCCACCAGUGGACUAUGAGGGUUCUGAUUUCCCACAUCAUUGCCAAAAAGUUUCAUUGUGUUUCUUUCCCAUUCAUGCUUUUAUGCUUUUAAUAUGUAAUACAUGUUUAGCAGACUCACAAACUCCAAGAAGAGACUAGCAGUUAUGAAAGGAAGGGGCUGGGAAUGGUGGGAGAAGG